UAACAAAUCGACCAAGCAUUCCGUUUGACGUUUAUGAAAAGUUAUGUCAUCGUGAUAAAAAGUUUGUUGUGGUUUUCCCGUGGUUGAAAAACAUGCGGUUUCCUCACAGUUUGUUUUUGGGACGAUGGCUAAAAGGACGAAGAUAUUUGUGUUCCGCUGUUGGAGAUUUUAUGACAUGCCGGGAAUUGUCGCCCGAAAUGAAACGUCGGAUGGAGCAGAAGUGGCACAACAAGCUAGGAGAUUCUCGGUUUGACCCGUCUGAUACGGCAAAGCCCAAGCGUUACGUGCUCGCAAUGUUCCCGUAUCCUUCCGGCAAUCUGCACAUGGGUCACGUCCGCGUGUACACAAUCAGUGACGCAAUGGCCCGGUUUUACCGGCUCAAUGGUGCUAACGUUCUGCAUCCGAUGGGUUGGGAUGCGUUCGGUUUACCGGCGGAAAACGCUGCCAUACAACGAAAAAUUCCAGCCGACACGUGGACCCAACGGAACAUAGGCGAGAUGCGCAAACAGCUAGAAAUGCUUGCGUUCAGCUUCGAUUGGGAGCGUGAAUUUGCGACCUGCCAACCUGAAUACUAUCGCUGGACGCAGCAGCUGUUUUUGAUGUUGUUUAAGGAUGGGCUAGCAUACCAGCGAGAAGCGCUUGUGAAUUGGGAUCCGGUCGAUCAAACGGUAUUGGCCGAUGAACAGGUGGACGAUAACGGUUGCUCUUGGCGUUCCGGGGCAAAGGUUGAGAAAAAGGUACUGCGACAAUGGUUUGUCAGGACGACAACAUUUGCCAAACCCCUGCUAGAGGGUCUAAGUGACCCUGAGCUGGAAGAUUGGAAGGAUAUCAUCAAGCUGCAGCGUCAUUGGAUCGGCGAGUGUGAGGGCUAUGCAUUCGAGUUUCCAAUAGUUGGAGAACAUCAAAUGAAGACUGUUUCCGUUUGGACCCGUGAGCCGGAGGAACUUAGAAAAGCCAUUUUUGUCGCCAUUCAUCCCGCCAAUCUUUUGAACAGUGCUAAAAACAACGAAAGCAAACUGGAAAAUGUCAUCGUAAAGAAUCCUUUUACCGAUGAUAUACUGCCGGUGAUCGUAACGGAACAAGUUCCCUUUCCGGAGGGAUGCGACACUUACCUAGCUGUUGAUAGUGAACAGAAUCGUAAACUAGCGGUUGCAAUUGGUUUGAAUUUAGAUACAGAAGCGAAAACAAAUGAUGAAAACAACGCUCCCGGCGAAGAUAUUCUUCAGCAAGCUCUCGCCAAAGGAAUCGGUGGUCAUCCGGUUAGUUCGAAGCUACGCGAUUGGCUCAUUUCACGACAACGGUUUUGGGGUACUCCGAUACCGAUUAUACAUUGUCCCAGUUGUGGAACAGUUCCGGUACCGGAGCACGACCUUCCCAUACAAUUGCCUACGGAUUCUGUUGGAGUUCCGUUGGAGCAGAACGAGCAAUGGCUAAGAGUGAAUUGUCCCUCCUGUCAGCGUACGGACUGUCGACGAGAAUCCGACACUAUGGACACGUUUGUCGAUAGUUCGUGGUACUUUUUGCGUUUCAUCGAUGCUCACAACAAAAAGCGGAUGUUUGAUCAAACGCUUGCCCAUCGGAUGAUGCCAGUCGAUCUUUACGUCGGAGGGAAGGAACACGCCGUGCUGCACCUUUACUACGCACGCUUCGUGGCCCAUUAUCUGCACAGCAAAGGGCUGCUACCCACACCGGAACCAUUUAAGCGCCUUCUCGUACAAGGCAUGGUAAUGGGUCGCUCGUAUCGUGUGGCUAGCAGUGGGAAGUACAUUCCGGUUGAAGAGGUUGAAGUGGUGGACGAGAAGCACAAUAAAGCGAUCGAACGGACGACAGGUGAACCGGUCUCGAUGCUGUGGGAAAAAAUGUCCAAAUCGAAGCUAAACGGUGUCGAUCCGUUAGAGGUUUUGAGGGAGCACGGAUGCGACACGUUACGACUGAUUCUGUUGGCUGAUGUGGCACCAACAUCCCAUCGUAAUUGGUCCGAAGCGACUUUUCCGGGAAUUUUAAACUGGCAGAAGCGACUUUGGAUGACGUUGCACGACUUCCGGGAACUACGGGCCAAAGUCAAUCCGGAAACUACUGAACCACCUGCAACGGAAGAGUUUAAGGAACAGGAACACAAGUUGUGGGACGCUCGUAAUUACUUUACGGCCGGUGCUACCUUCAACUACCGCCAUUCACAUCAGCUUAGUGUGGGCAUUUCGAAGAUGCAGGGCCUUACGAAUGCUAUCCGGCGUGCCACACCGGAUGUGGUCACGCACGGGCGACAGUACGAACGUGCCCUUGCCGCACAGAUUAUUAUGCUCGCCCCAAUGGCACCUCACUUCGCAGCGGAACUUUGGAACCAGCUUGUCACUGCACCGCACCGAGUAGACCGGCAAGAAUCGAACAAUUGUGGGCUGCGAUGGGACGGUACAGUGUUCGAUCAACGUUGGCCAGAAAUAGACGAGGAUUUUCCACUUGAUCUUACAUUUAAGAUAAAUGGUGCAGAAUGUUGCAUACUAAAAAUUCCGGCCAAGCGCUUCAAUCAGCUAACGCACCAGGAAUCGCUUGAUUUAGCACUACGUCAGGAACCGAUCGUGAAGUUGAUUGGAAAGCGACCACUUCGAACGAGCGAUUUCCUCCUAUAUCCCAGCUGCGAAGCUAUACUCAAUGUAGAUCUCGAUCGGGCCAUCCUCGAGGAGGAAGGACAAGACGGCCAACCAUCGGGCAAGAGUAAAAAGGAAAAGAAGGAUAAGAAAAUGAAGAAGAAAAAGUCACUACAGGUGCUCCACAUUGGGUAAGACGCCCAACUCGAUUUAGCCGCACCGGUGGAACAAUGUGAUAGGAAACAAAAACGCCGCAACGUACGAGGCCGCAUUUGAUCUGUACGGUGGAUCGGUAUGAGUUCGGUUGCUGUCCCGCUAUUGUACCGUGCUGUGAUAGUUGCUUCACGUGUUGAUGUCAGUUGAUCAGUUGGUCUAUCCUUCGGGUGUCCCGAAACGCUCGACAAUAUCUACAACAACAAAUGAACGUCGGGACGUAAUCAACGGUAGAAAGCAGUUCUCAAUCGGAAAAUGGUUAUUCGUGUAAGUUUCGCUCAGAACGAUAAUAAGCCAUGGUGGUGGGGAAUCCUUUCUAAUUCAAUGUACCGACUACCGAACCGAACAAUUCGUCCGAGGCCGACAAUGAAAUUGUUCGUGUGUAUGUAUUGGUAAUUUAGCCAUAGCCUAUCUAAACCAUGCUCUGAUUAGGAUUCGCGUCCAUACAUUACGUACCAGUUGGAGUUAGUUCCCCGGUCGCUCCCGGUAGCCCCAAGGUGGAUGAGUGAAAGCUUUGGCAGGAAAAACCCAGCUCCUUUCGUGCCGUCACGCCAAUGAUGGUCGGGUGUGUGAAACUGCACGUCAUAAAACUGUGACGUGCGUGCAUGUAGAAGGAAUGACAUGUGGGGGGAUGUAUACGGGGGAGCUAUGCAAACUUCCGAGCCAGUCUGCAAAGCCAGCCGUCUCAACUAUUCCACAUGAUGUUCGAGCCUGCCGUAUGGUGGUGCUUCCGGUCGUCUGAAUAGUUUCUCACAUUCCGCCACUGUGCUGGCGAUCGGAAUCGGUAAAGUUUUUUUUUGGUUUAUUUUUUGUUUCACUUACACCGCUCCGACUUGUUCGAUGGCGGGGGUGGGGGAGUGGCACCAUUCCCAAACAGAUCCUUACAGUCCCGGGUGUCUCUGGAAUUUCCGGCUUAAAAGUGUUACUUCCAAGUGCCAAAAGUUCGUUUAGAAAUGGGCAUGAAUGGUACGUAGGGAAGGAACAAGUGAAAAGCCGUUGGAAAAUCUGCAAAGUUUUCCACGUUUCUCCCCAUUUCCCCUUGUUAUCCAAGGAAUCGUUCUCAAUUCCACAUUCCUGAGAAGGUUGAACGAAGCUUGGGUAAGGUAGUGGCGUGGCAAAUUCGGCCUACAUUUUUGCCAUUUUCUAUCAUUAGCACUUGCGGCACUUAGUUUGGUACGGGGAUGAAAGCAAAAGGUGAGUGUUGUGUGGAGCUUGGCAAACAGUUUCCCACUUCCUUGCCCACAGUGGAAGCUAUUUUCGUGCCUACAGUAGGUGACGGUUUUUAUCUACAGGUGAUUUGUAUGGGAAACCCAUUUACAUCACAUUGUAUUGUUUUAUUUAUAAUGUUGCAUUUAUUCUAUGACUUUUUCUUUCCAUUUUUCAAGAGAAGUUCCAUUUGAAACAAAUGUUUUCAUUGUACGAGAAAAGAAAAAAAAUACUUAAAUAAUAAUAAUAGCAAAAAUCAAUGUCAUUUCCUAAUUAAAACAUGAAUUGUACCAUUUUCUGCCCCUAUUUCGGCACUGCUCUUCAUCAAGAGG
RNA transcript from Anopheles funestus (African malaria mosquito), 4336 nucleotides. It is a transcript of the gene named leucine--tRNA ligase, mitochondrial, with no coding region annotated. The record is from RefSeq and is a predicted model, not a curated record. The transcript is spliced from 5 exons. NCBI's taxonomy places the organism in Eukaryota, Metazoa, Arthropoda, Insecta, Diptera, Culicidae.